GACGAACGCUGGCGGCGUGCCUAAUACAUGCAAGUAGAACGCAGUUGCGAACGGGUGAGUAACGCGUAGGUAACUGCUUCAUAGCGGGGGUUAACUAUUGGAAACGAUAGCUAAUACCGCAUACUGUGAGAUGGACCUGAGUUGUAUUAGCUAGUUAGUGAGGUAACGGCUCACCAAGGCGACGAUACAUAGCCGACCUGAGAGGGUAAUCAGCCCCCCUGGGACUGAGACACGGCCCAGACUCCUCCUGUAUUCACCAUUAUAAAAUCUUCAGCAAUGUACGGAAGUCUGACCGAGCAACGCCGCGUGAGUGAAGAAGUUGUUCGGAUCUUAACGCUCUGUUGGUAGAGAAGGGGUACCUAACCAGAAAGGGACGGCUAACUACGUGCCAGCAGCCGCGGUAAUG
This 406-nucleotide ribosomal RNA is filed under the name uncultured bacterium. Its description in RNAcentral is "partial 16S ribosomal RNA". It matches the Rfam family "Bacterial small subunit ribosomal RNA", at positions 28 to 525 of the family's 1533-position model. The record is from RNAcentral.